This 1435-nucleotide long non-coding RNA is filed under the name Parus major (Great Tit). RNAcentral's name for it is "lncRNA (ENSPMJG00000000098.1)". The record is from RNAcentral. Lineage: Eukaryota; Metazoa; Chordata; Aves; Passeriformes; Paridae.
CUUCCCCCUCGGGUGCAGGCAGGGCUCUGCCCGUCUCCCCGGGCAAGAGCGGGCACGGGCAAAGGCGCAAAGUUGCGCGGCGCCGGCGGGGAUGGAGCCGGGGCUGCUCCCGCUCCGCUGUCCCUGCGCGGCGCCCCCCGCCCGCCCCUCGCACUCACCGGCGGAGCGGCGCCUGCGGCCGGGGUCCUCCUCUGCUGUCAGCGCUCAGCCUCGGGCUCUGGCAGUUGGAGCAGGAAGGAAGUUGGUGAGGAGAGGAAAAAAAAAAAAAUAACACUCACACGCAGCGAAAAAAAAAAAAAAAAAAAAAAAAAAAAGGAAAAGAGAGCAAAGCGCGGCGGCAGCAGCAGCCCACCGGCAGAGGAAGCCCUGCACGGCCCCGCAUGCUGCGGCGCUCCGCCGCCUGCCCCGCUUUGUCUGCCGCGCUCCCGCUGCGCAGAGGUGCACCGGGCUUUGUCUGCCGAGCCCAGCCCGGCCGCGGAGCGCUCGCCGGGCUGCGGGCUCUCGUGUGAGAAGGAGCUGCAGACGUUGGAAUCGCACCGUGCCAAGCAGAUGGGAACUCAGAAGCCAGGCAUGAUCCUUUGGGUCAGAAUAUCCAGCAUCCUGCUGGGGAACCACGUCACUGCUCUGCUGGAAGAAAGGAAAGGUUUGAACCACAAUGGAGCAGAACAUCACUGAAAGCAAAUCUCUACCACCGACUAUUUCAUCUUUGACAAACUGAUGCCAUGCCAUGAAGAUCAUCUCUUGGCAGGCGUUGUCCAACCCCAGACAGCUCUUUUGUCUGUGACAGAAGGAGGCAGGGACAAGAGCUAAAGUGUACCUACUUUACUGCAAAACAUAUGGUAAAAUUUCAAAUAUGUUCUUAGUCAGAAAAUAAUAUUUUUUGCUUAAAAUACUAUGAUUAAGUCUUAUUUAAUUUUACCCCACUGAUAACAGUUGAUUGUACAAUUAGUAGACCACAUUAAUAGCUGUGAUCAGCUGCUAGUGUCUAAGUUUAUUUCAAAAAGUUUAUGCAAAAUUUUAAAUGCUUAUCCUUCAACUACAGAGCCUAUACUCCCAACAGUCAUAUAUGUCUGUAGCACCCUAUUGGAAAUAACAAACCUUGACUUUUUUUAAAACUGUAAGAUUAAAAAAAUUAGGCAUUUUUUCCUAUUUGAAUUUGGAUUGCUGCCAGUCCAGUACUUCUGAAUUUUUUUGCAGUGGUGGUACAUUGCAGCUUUGUGCUGCUAAAUGUCAUCUCCAUUUUCUGUGGAACAGGUCACUGCAUUUGAGGAACCAAACUACUUUAUGACCUUUAGAAGUGACUAAUCCAGAAAAAUUUCACCUGUUAGAAUUUCUUAUUUUCACCUACUUGUAAUCUCCAAAACUGUCUAAUUUGGAGCUGAAAUUUUCCAGGCUGGAAGCUCUGAGGGGAAAAAUAAAAAGAGAUUUCAGUCCA